Puntigrus tetrazona (Sumatra barb) is the source of this 1687-nucleotide long non-coding RNA. RefSeq lists it as uncharacterized. The transcript has 3 exons. Lineage: Eukaryota; Metazoa; Chordata; Actinopteri; Cypriniformes; Cyprinidae. The record is from RefSeq and is a predicted model, not a curated record.
GAGGAGAGCUGUAGGCCGGCAUGAUGACGAACACCGGGAUACGCAGCUCCACCGCGUGAUACGCCACCGCCAUCGAGAAGUUACAGUCCGUGGCCACGAUCACGCCCUUCCUCUGCUGAUCCUGCACAGCUCAGGGUGUCUUCUGGAUGCUGCUCUGCUGGAGUCUGAAGGCAGCGGCGCUGAUGUCCUCGAAGCGGAGGUGGUCAGGGACAGCUUUGGCUGUAGUCUUGCUCUCUCCGCUCUUCUUCGGUGGUUUGGGUGUGGACAUUAACUGGAGCUCCGCCGCUUGAGAGACGCUGCCCUCGUGGACCCUCACGUCUCCAUUGAGGACUUGACAGGGUUAUUGCUCUCACUCAUGUUUACCGCGGCAGGAGGAGGAGGAGGAGGCUGAGGAAGAGUCUGAGGAGCACACACACUACAGCGUGAAGGAGCGUUCUCUGUGAUCUGUGGAAGAGCUAGAGAUGAAGACGGGUCUGGAGCAGCGGCUCUGUCUGAAGCUCCAGGAGAAGCUGAGGGAGAUCUCAGCGAGAGAGCUUUGUGCGUCUCAGGAGUCGAAGGUGAACCGGUGGAUGGAGGAAGAGCGGGAUGGGAUGAAGAACACAGAGGGUCUGCUAAACGCCGGUGAAGCUCAGACUCAGGAGGACACUGAGGAGGUUCUGGAGGCUCUCUAAGGGUUUCAGACACACACUACCCGUCAAACGUUUCUAAAACGUAAGAUCUUUGAUGUUUUUAAAAGAAGUCUCUUCUGUUCUCCAAGCCUGCUUUUAUUUGAUCCAAAAUACAGCAGUGAUAUUGUGAAUAUCCUACUAUUUAAAAAUGCUUUCUAUUAGAGUUUUAGCAGCAUUACUCCAGUCACAUGAUCCUUUAGAAAUCGUUCUAAUGUUCUGAUUUGCUCGUUUAUUAUUAUGUCUAAAACAGCUAAUUAGAAAUUCAUCUCAAAUAGAAAGCCUUUGUAACAUUACAAACAUCAGUUUCGAUCGAUUUAAAUGAAAUGAUUGAUUUCUAGAACUCAAGCUUUUAAAUUGUGUAGUGUAUAAUUUCACAAAAGCUUUUUAUUUGAGAUAAAUGCUAUUCAGCAGAGGAUCCUGAAAGAAUGCAUUGAUGAUAAUGAUAAGGAUCGCGUGACUGAAAAAUCUGCUUUGAAAUCAUUUGAUUUUAAAACAUUUUCAAAUAUUUACACUUUAUUCGUAUUUACAUUUUAAAGCAGACGCUUUUCUCUCGAAAAUGAAGACGGUGGAAGCAAUCGAAACCAACAGAAGAGCAGUAACACGCACACAAAGAUGAGUCUCUUAGUGCAAUAUAUAUGCUUUAAAGAAAACAAGUAGAGAAUAUCAACAAAAUUAAGAAACAAACAGAAUAGAAAAAAGAAAUCUAGUGUCAGAAAGAGAGCAAGAGAAUGAAUAUGCCAUUGAUAAAUGGUCAAGGCUGUGUUUUUUUGUAAAUAAAACAGACAGACGGAUCAAAUAGAAUUAGAGUAGAUGUGCUAACGAUGAAGGAGAUGUGUCUUAGCUGUUUCUUGAAGAAGGUUAAGGACCGCUCGGAUAGAGUUACACAUAGAAAGCAUCUAUAUUUUAAAUACAAGUAUCUACUGUUUUUGCUGUACUUUGAAUCAAACAAGCAGCGUCUCGGUGAGCAGAAGAGACUCGUGAAAGAUCUUACGGAGGUGUCCCACCUCUGCCAGAAGGGA